UACGUAGGGUGCAAGCGUUGUCCGGAAUUAUUGGGCGUAAAGAGCUUGUAGGCGGUCUGUCGCGUCUGCUGUGAAAAUCCGGGGCUCAACCCCGGACUUGCAGUGGGUACGGGCAGACUAGAGUGUGGUAGGGGAGACUGGAAUUCCUGGUGUAGCGGUGAAAUGCGCAGAUAUCAGGAGGAACACCGAUGGCGAAGGCAGGUCGCUGGAACGGUACUGACGCUGAGGCGCGAAAGCGUGGGGAGCGAACAGG
RNAcentral lists this ribosomal RNA (253 nucleotides) under uncultured bacterium. Its description in RNAcentral is "partial 16S ribosomal RNA". It matches the Rfam family "Bacterial small subunit ribosomal RNA", at positions 524 to 776 of the family's 1533-position model. The record is from RNAcentral.